CCUACGGGUGGCAGCAGUGAGGAAUAUUGGUCAAUGGGCGCGAGCCUGAACCAGCCAAGUCGCGUGAGGGAAGACGGUCCUAUGGAUUGUAACCUUCUUUUGUCGGGGAGCAAAAGACGCCACGCGUGGCGUUCCGAGAGUACCCGAAGAAAACGCAUCGUCUAACUCCGUGCCGGCAGCCGCGGUAAUCCGGAGGAUGCGCGCGUUAUCCGGAUGUAUUGGGUUUAAAGGGUGCGUAGGCGGAGUGCCAAGUCAGCGGUAAAAGCGCGGGGCUCAACCUCGCUCCGCCGUUGAAACUGGCGGUCGUGAGUGGGCGAGAGGUAUGCGGAAUGCGUGGUGUAGCGGUGAAAUGCAUAGAUAGAACGCAGAACUCCGAUUGCGAAGGCAGCAUACCGGCGCCAAACUGACGCGGAAGCACGAAAGCGUGGGUAUCGAACAGGAUUAGAUACCCCUGUAGUC
This 459-nucleotide ribosomal RNA is filed under the name uncultured bacterium. RNAcentral's name for it is "partial 16S ribosomal RNA". It matches the Rfam family "Bacterial small subunit ribosomal RNA", at positions 338 to 795 of the family's 1533-position model. The record is from RNAcentral.